This 467-nucleotide ribosomal RNA is filed under the name uncultured bacterium. Its description in RNAcentral is "partial 16S ribosomal RNA". It matches the Rfam family "Bacterial small subunit ribosomal RNA", at positions 28 to 507 of the family's 1533-position model. The record is from RNAcentral.
GAUGAACGCUGGCGGCGUGCUUAACACAUGCAAGUCGAACGGAAAGGCCGAAGCUUGCUUCGGUACUCGAGUGGCGAACGGGUGAGUAACACGUGGGUGAUCUGCCCUGUACUUCGGGAUAAGCUUGGGAAACUGGGUCUAAUACCGGAUAUGACAAUCUCUUGGAUGGGGUUGUGGAAAGCUUUUGCGGUAUGGGAUGAGCUCGCGGCCUAUCAGCUUGUUGGUGGGGUAAUGGCCUACCAAGGCGUCGACGGGUAGCCGGCCUGAGAGGGUGUACGGCCACAUUGGGACUGAGAUACGGCCCAGACUCCUACGGGAGGCAGCAGUGGGGAAUAUUGCACAAUGGGCGCAAGCCUGAUGCAGCGACGCCGCGUGGGGGAUGACGGCCUUCGGGUUGUAAACUCCGUUCGCAACCGACGAAGCUUUUUGUGACGGUAGGUUGAGAAGAAGCACCGGCUAACUACGUG